CUAUGCGCCUUGCCAGCCCGCUCAGUCAGAGUUUGAUCCUGGCUCAGCCUGAACGCUGGCGGCGUGGCUAAGACAUGCAAGUCGCACGGGGUAGCAAUACCCAGUGGCGAACGGGUGAGUAAUGAAUCGCUAAUGUACCCUGGACUCUGGGAUAGCUUCCCGAAAGGGAAGGUAAUACCAGAUGAGACCACGAUCAGGCAUCUGAUUGUGCUCAAAGGUCCGCCGGUCUGGGAGCAGGCGAUUUCGUAUCAGCUUGUUGGUGAGGUAAUGGCUUACCAAGGCGACGACGCGUAGCCGGACUGAGAGGUUGGCCGGCCACAUUGGGACUGAGACACUGCCCAG
This 342-nucleotide ribosomal RNA is filed under the name uncultured bacterium. RNAcentral describes it as "bacterial SSU rRNA". It matches the Rfam family "Bacterial small subunit ribosomal RNA", at positions 1 to 334 of the family's 1533-position model. The record is from RNAcentral.